This 216-nucleotide ribosomal RNA is filed under the name Triticum aestivum (bread wheat). RNAcentral's name for it is "partial small subunit ribosomal RNA". The record is from RNAcentral. Lineage: Eukaryota; Viridiplantae; Streptophyta; Magnoliopsida; Poales; Poaceae.
GUUGCUUUCACGUCUAUCGUGGCCAUUUUCAGCAUUAAAAGGGUUGAUGAUAGGUCAGGAACAAAGUCCCUUGCACCCCUUGUUAUUGCUGGUGCACUGAGCAUCAUGUACUGGAGUUUCUUUGAUGAUCUUCGGCCAUAUGCGGUAAUCCAGUUCAUGCCAUGCAUUGUAAUACUUGUGAUGACUAUAGUUAUUCCACCAAUGUAUACACAUUAG